RNAcentral lists this ribosomal RNA (459 nucleotides) under uncultured bacterium. Its description in RNAcentral is "partial 16S ribosomal RNA". It matches the Rfam family "Bacterial small subunit ribosomal RNA", at positions 338 to 795 of the family's 1533-position model. The record is from RNAcentral.
CCUACGGGUGGCAGCAGUGAGGAAUAUUGGUCAAUGGACGCGAGCCUGAACCAGCCCAGUCGCGUGAAGGAAGACGGUCCUAUGGAUUGUAAACCUCUUUUGUCAGGGAGCAAAAGACGACACGCGUGGCGUUCCGCGAGUACCUGAUGAAAAAGCAUCGGCUAACUCCGUGCCAGCAGCCGCGGGAAUACGGAGGAUGCGAGCGUUCUCCGGAUUUAUUGGGUUUAAAGGUUGCGCAGGCGGAAGAUUAAGUCAGCGGUAAAAUUGAGAGGCUCAACCUCUUCGCGCCGUUGAAACUGGUUUUCUUGAGUGAGUGAGAAGGAUGCGGAAUGCGUGGUGUAGCGGUGAAAUGCUUAGAUAUCACGCAGAACCCCGAUUGCGAAGGCAGCAUACCGACGCUCAACUGACGCUCAUGCACGAAAGUGUGGGUAUCGAACAGGAUUAGAUACCCGGGUAGUC